Amphiprion ocellaris (clown anemonefish) is the source of this 517-nucleotide long non-coding RNA. NCBI's taxonomy places the organism in Eukaryota, Metazoa, Chordata, Actinopteri, Pomacentridae. The record is from Ensembl.
GAUGGAAGGUCUUGAAGUUCUCUGACUGGCCUCGACUGAAGAUGGUCGUCUCACUGGAUUUAAGAUGCACAAUGAGGGACGUCUGCAGAGACUGAGAAAGAGUCUCACCACAUCCUGACAUGAGGAAAAAGACUUUAUUGAAGACUACAAUGAGAAAAACUAUCAGACAGCAGACGGCUGCAUUCAAGGUUACAGGAGGAGUCCUACGAGGACGAGCUGGUCCACCUGAUGGCGGCCAGUCGCUGCGGUUCAAAGCCAACACCGACUACGUGGACUUCUACUGGACCACACGGAGGCCUUCAAACCGGACCAACAAGUUCAGCGACUCCCCGACUCGUGGGUCUGAGGACGCCGCCGAGCCUCGGUCCAGCCGGCCUCCUGUCUGUGGGUGUUUGAGUGCUGAGAGGUUUGUGGAUGCAUGUGAACGUGUCUGUGUUGAAACAGCAGCUUUUGACUCAGUAACGCUGGUAAAAACCAAGAGCUCCUUUAUUUGUGACUUCCACUAAAAAAACUGAUG